AAUCAACGCUGGCGGCGUGCCUAACACAUGCAAGUCGAACGCGAAAGGGGAGCAAUCCCUGAGUAGAGUGGCAAACGGGUGAGUAACACGUGGGUGACCUGCCUUCGAGUGGGGGAUAACGUUCCGAAAGGAACGCUAAUACCGCAUGACAUCCUGCUUUUGGAAAAGUGGAGAUCAAAGCUGGGGAUUCGCAAGAACCUGGCGCUUGAAGAGGGGCCCGCGCCUGAUUAGCUAGUUGGUGAGGUAACGGCUCAUCAAGGCUUCGAUCAGUAUCCGGCCUGAGAGGGCGGACGGACACACUGGGACUGAGACACGGCCCAGACUCCUACGGGAGGCAGCAGUGGGGAAUUGUUCGCAAUGGGCGCAAGCCUGACGACGCAACGCCGCGUGGAGGAUGAAGACCUUCGGGUCGUAAACUUCUGUCGAGUGGGAAGAAUAGCUAUCGGGCGAAUAUCCCGGAAGUCUGACGGUACCACUAAAGGAAGCCCCGGCUAACUCCGUG
Molecule: ribosomal RNA, 502 nt
Filed under: uncultured bacterium
Lineage: Bacteria
Description: bacterial SSU rRNA
Rfam family: Bacterial small subunit ribosomal RNA
Source: RNAcentral